GACGAACGCUGGCGGCGUGCUUAACACAUGCAAGUCGAACGGAAAGGCCCUGCUUUUGUGGGGUGCUCGAGUGGCGAACGGGUGAGUAACACGUGAGUAACCUGCCCUUGACUUUGGGAUAACUUCAGGAAACUGGGGCUAAUACCUGAUAGGAGCUCCUGCUGCAUGGUGGAGGUUGGAAAGUUUCGGCGGUUGGGGAUGGACUCGCGGCUUAUCAGCUUGUUGGUGGGGUAGUGGCUUACCAAGGCUUUGACGGGUAGCCGGCCUGAGAGGGUGACCGGCCACACUGGGACUGAGAUACGGCCCAGACGCCGACGGGAGGCAGCAGGGGGGAAUAUUGCACAAUGGGCGGAAGCUGGAUGCAGCAACGCCGCGUGCGGGAUGACGGCCUUCGGGGUGUAAACCGCUUUCGCCUGUGACGAAGCGGGAGUGGCGGGAAUGGGUAAAGAAGCACCGGCUAACUACGGG
This 468-nucleotide ribosomal RNA is filed under the name uncultured bacterium. RNAcentral's name for it is "partial 16S ribosomal RNA". It matches the Rfam family "Bacterial small subunit ribosomal RNA", at positions 28 to 507 of the family's 1533-position model. The record is from RNAcentral.